Molecule: ribosomal RNA, 1255 nt
Filed under: Streptomyces coelicolor
Lineage: Bacteria; Bacillati; Actinomycetota; Actinomycetes; Kitasatosporales; Streptomycetaceae
Description: bacterial SSU rRNA
Rfam family: Bacterial small subunit ribosomal RNA
Source: RNAcentral
GGGAGGGUUGUAAAAUUACGUCACGUACAGCUUACCAUGCAGUCGAACGAUGAACCACUUCGGUGGGGAUUAGUGGCGAACGGGUGAGUAACACGUGGGCAAUCUGCCCUGCACUCUGGGACAAGCCCUGGAAACGGGGUCUAAUACCGGAUACUGAUCCUCGCAGGCAUCUGCGAGGUUCGAAAGCUCCGGCGGUGCAGGAUGAGCCCGCGGCCUAUCAGCUAGUUGGUGAGGUAACGGCUCACCAAGGCGACGACGGGUAGCCGGCCUGAGAGGGCGACCGGCCACACUGGGACUGAAACACGGCCCAAACUCCUACGGGAGGCAGCAGUGGGGAAUAUUGCACAAUGGGCGAAAGCCUGAUGCAGCGACGCCGCGUGAGGGAUGACGGCCUUCGGGUUGUAAACCUCUUUCAGCAGGGAAGAAGCGAAAGUGACGGUACCUGCAGAAAAAGCGCCGGCUAACUACGUGCCAGCAGCCGCGGUAAUACGUAGGGCGCAAGCGUUGUCCGGAAUUAUUGGGCGUAAAGAGCUCGUAGGCGGCUUGUCACGUCGGUUGUGAAAGCCCGGGGCUUAACCCCGGGUCUGCAGUCGAUACGGGCAGGCUAGAGUUCGGUAGGGGAGAUCGGAAUUCCUGGUGUAGCGGUGAAAUGCGCAGAUAUCAGGAGGAACACCGGUGGCGAAGGCGGAUCUCUGGGCCGAUACUGACGCUGAGGAGCGAAAGCGUGGGGAGCGAACAGGAUUAGAUACCCUGGUAGUCCACGCCGUAAACGGUGGGCACUAGGUGUGGGCAACAUUCCACGUUGUCCGUGCCGCAGCUAACGCAUUAAGUGCCCCGCCUGGGGAGUACGGCCGCAAGGCUAAAACUCAAAGGAAUUGACGGGGGCCCGCACAAGCGGCGGAGCAUGUGGCUUAAUUCGACGCAACGCGAAGAACCUUACCAAGGCUUGACAUACACCGGAAAACCCUGGAGACAGGGUCCCCCUUGUGGUCGGUGUACAGGUGGUGCAUGGCUGUCGUCAGCUCGUGUCGUGAGAUGUGGGUAAGUCCCGCACGAGCGCAACCCUUGUCCCGUGUGCCAGCAGCCCUUGUGUGCUGGGACUCACGGAGACGCGGGUCACUCGAGAAGUGGGGACGACGUCAGUCAUCAUGCCCUUAUGUCUUGGGCUGCCACGUGCUCAUGGCGGUACAUGAGCUCAUUCCGGAGGUGGACGAUCUCAAAGCCGCCCUCCAUUCCGAAUGGGGGUUGGCACUCA